Molecule: ribosomal RNA, 497 nt
Filed under: uncultured bacterium
Lineage: Bacteria
Description: partial 16S ribosomal RNA
Rfam family: Bacterial small subunit ribosomal RNA
Source: RNAcentral
GAUGAACGCUGGCGGCGUGCCUAAUACAUGCAAGUCGAGCGAACGGACGAGAAGCUUGCUUCUCUGAUGUUAGCGGCGGACGGGUGAGUAACACGUGGAUAACCUACCUAUAAGACCGGGAUAACUUCGGGAAACCGGAGCUAAUACCGGAUAAUAUUUUGAACCGCAUGGCUCAAAAGUGAAAGACGGUCUUGCUGUCACUUAUAGAUGGAUCCGCGCUGCAUUAGCUAGUUGGUAAGGUAACGGCUUACCAAGGCAACGAUGCAUAGCCGACCUGAGAGGGUGAUCGGCCACACUGGAACUGAGACACGGUCCAGACUCCUACGGGAGGCAGCAGUAGGGAAUCUUCCGCGAUGGGCGAAAGCCUGACGGAGCAACGCCGCGUGAGUGAUGAAGGUCUUCGGAUCGUAAAACUCUGUUAUUAGGGAAGAACAUAUGUGUAAGUAACUGUGCACAUCUUGACGGUACCUAAUCAGAAAGCCACGGCUAACUACGUG